GGUGGUGCAUGGUUGUCGUCAGCUCGUGUCGUGAGAUGUUGGGUUAAGUCCCGCAACGAGCGCAACCCUUAUUAUCAGUUGCCAGCAUUAAGUUGGGCACUCUGGUGAGACUGCCGGUGACAAACCGGAGGAAAGUGGGGAUGACGUCAAAUCAUCAUGCCCCUUAUGACCUGGGCUACACACGUGCUACAAUGGAUGGUACAACGAGUUGCGAACUCGCGAGAGUAAGCUAAUCUCUUAAAGCCAUUCUCAGUUCGGAUUGUAGGCUGCAACUCGCCUACAUGAAGUCGGAAUCGCUAGUAAUCGCGGAUCAGCAUGCCGCGGUGAAUACGUUCCCGGGUCUUGUACACACC
This 353-nucleotide ribosomal RNA is filed under the name uncultured bacterium. Its description in RNAcentral is "bacterial SSU rRNA". It matches the Rfam family "Bacterial small subunit ribosomal RNA", at positions 1037 to 1391 of the family's 1533-position model. The record is from RNAcentral.